GACGAACGCUGGCGGCGUGCUUAACACAUGCAAGUCGAACGGAAAGGCCCUGCUUUUGUGGGGUGCUCGAGUGGCGAACGGGUGAGUAACACGUGAGUAACCUGCCCUGGACUUUGGGAUAACUUCAGGAAACUGGGGUUAAUACCGGAUAGGAGCUCCUGCUCCAUGGGGGGGGUUGGAAAGUUUCGGCGGUUGGGGAUGGACUCGCGGCUUAUCAGCUUGUUGGUGGGGUAGUGGCUUACCAAGGCUUUGACGGGUAGCCGGCCUGAGAGGGUGACCGGCCACAUUGGGACUGAGAUACGGCCCAGACUCCUACGGGAGGCAGCAGUGGGGAAUAUUGCACAAUGGGCGGAAGCCUGAUGCAGCAACGCCGCGUGCGGGAUGACGGCCUUCGGGUUGUAAACCGCUUUCGCCUGUGACGAAGCGUGAGUGACGGUAAUGGGUAAAGAAGCACCGGCUAACUACGUG
RNAcentral lists this ribosomal RNA (468 nucleotides) under uncultured bacterium. RNAcentral describes it as "partial 16S ribosomal RNA". It matches the Rfam family "Bacterial small subunit ribosomal RNA", at positions 28 to 507 of the family's 1533-position model. The record is from RNAcentral.